Molecule: ribosomal RNA, 256 nt
Filed under: uncultured bacterium
Lineage: Bacteria
Description: partial 16S ribosomal RNA
Rfam family: Bacterial small subunit ribosomal RNA
Source: RNAcentral
UACGUAGGGUGCAAGCGUUGUCCGGAAUCAUUGGGCGUAAAGGGCGCGUAGGUGGCCCGGUCAGUCUUUGGUGAAAGCGCGGGGCUCAACCCUGCGUCGGCCAGGGAUACUGCCGCGGCUCGAGCACUGUAGAGGCAGGCGGAAUUCCGGGUGUAGCGGUGGAAUGCGUAGAGAUCCGGAAGAACACCGGUGGCGAAGGCGGCCUGCUGGGCAGUUUAGCUGACACUGAGGCGCGACAGCGUGGGGAGCAAACAGG